UAUAAUCUCUCGUCUAUUAAGAGAAAUACAAAAGUCUCCCUCUUCUCUCUAUUUAUUCUGCUUCUUCUUCUUGCUUUUAUAUUUCAUAACAUGUUAUCAGAGAUCUCUAUUUAUUCUUCUUGUUCUUACUUUUAUAUUUCAUAACACGUUAUCAGCACGACUCUGUAACAAAUUGAGAUAUCUAUUUCAAUCAAUUCGAU
Molecule: long non-coding RNA, 200 nt
Filed under: Capsicum annuum
Lineage: Eukaryota; Viridiplantae; Streptophyta; Magnoliopsida; Solanales; Solanaceae
Description: long non-coding RNA (CANN_LNC016236)
Source: RNAcentral